Molecule: ribosomal RNA, 17 nt
Filed under: Dichotomocladium elegans
Lineage: Eukaryota; Fungi; Mucoromycota; Mucoromycetes; Mucorales; Lichtheimiaceae
Description: partial 28S ribosomal RNA
Source: RNAcentral
UGAAAUCAACCAAGACG